AUUGAACGCUGGCGGCAGGCUAACACAUGCAAGUCGAGCGAGCGGCGGACGGGUGAGUAAUGUAUGGGGACUGCCCGAUAGAGGGGGAUAACUACUGGAAACGGUAGCUAAUACCGCAUACUUACGGAUAACCCAUAUGGGAUUAGCUAGUAGGUGAGGUAAUGGCUCACCUAGACGACGAUCCCUAGCUGGUCUGAGAGGAUGAUCAGCAACACGGGGACGUAGACACGGCCCAGCCUCCUACGGAGGCAGCAGUGGGGAAUAUUCGACAAGGGGCGCAAGCCGGAUGUAGCCAUUCGGCGUGUAUGAAGAAGGCCCUAGGGUUGUAAAGUACUUUCAGUCGGGAGGCGUUACCGACAGAAGAAGCACCGGCUAACUCCGUGCCAGCAGCCGCGGUAAUUC
RNAcentral lists this ribosomal RNA (402 nucleotides) under uncultured bacterium. RNAcentral describes it as "partial 16S ribosomal RNA". It matches the Rfam family "Bacterial small subunit ribosomal RNA", at positions 30 to 526 of the family's 1533-position model. The record is from RNAcentral.